AUUCCAGCUCCAAUAGCGUAUAUUAAAGUUGUUGCAGUUAAAAGGCUCGUAGUUGAGUGUUGGUGGUGGGCGUCUGGUCUGGCCUCGCGUCAGUACUGGGCGAUCCGGCACUUUAUCCUUGUGGGCGGCGUGCACUUGAUUGUGUGUGUCGCAUUGCGAGAAGGAUUACCUUGAGAAAAAUAGAGUGUUUAAAGCAGGCUAAUGCUUGAAUACCGCAGCAUGGAAUAAUAGAAUAGGACAUUGGUUCUUAUUUUGUUGGUUUUCAGGACCAGGGUCAUGAUGAAUAGGGACAGUUGGGAGCAUUAGUAUUCAGUAGUCAGAGGUGAAAUUCUUGGAUUUACUGAAGACUGACUAAUGCGAAAGCAUUUGCCAAGGAUGUUUUCAUCA
This 387-nucleotide ribosomal RNA is filed under the name Opisthokonta sp. RNAcentral's name for it is "partial small subunit ribosomal RNA". It matches the Rfam family "Eukaryotic small subunit ribosomal RNA", at positions 582 to 975 of the family's 1831-position model. The record is from RNAcentral.